CCAAUCCUAUGCAUUCCUCAUAAUAGCCGGUUGAUGAUUAAGCACGUAUUAAUGAAAAUUUUAAAAAGAAAAAAGAAAAAUUUUUAAGUGGGUUUUAAAAAGUUCAUAAGCCAAAAUCUCAUUAACCAUUUUUUGAAGGAAGCAACAGCUCGUCUCUGAAACGUCAUAUGCCACUAUUCACACAAUUUUAUUAUGAAAAUUAUUGAACCAAGGCUGAGAAAAAGGGAAAAAAAAUAAAUUCUUUCAGAGUUGUCUGUUACUACUACAUAGAGAAAUGACGGGGAGCUGCAAUUUCAGAGGUGAGGGAGGGUUUUGUAAAUUUCAUAAUUUUUUUCGUUAUUCAACUUAUAAUUUUUUUUUUUUUGGAGUGAUGAAAUGUUUGUAAUAUCAUUGAUUGGUUUAUCGAUUAGUAUCCUCAUAGUUUUAUCUUGCUUCAAAUUCUUAAAUAGGCCAUAUGCAUCAAGUGUUUGAUGAAAUGUCUGAAUGGCGUAAGCAAAUGCUAGUUGGCUAAUUUUAAACAUGUUAAUCGGUUUACAAAUUCAUGUUUCAGAGUUCAACUAUUUUCAUGUAAUUUCAUUAUUAACAUAGUAUGAUUUGUUAUCGAUGAAGUGAGAAUAUUAUAAGUGGAAUGAAUAGUUGAGCAGGUGCUUUAAGUUUCAAAGUCUUUAGAGAAUGACUUAACAGAACGUUCUGUUUUUAUGGCAUGAGCAUAUAGUUAGGAUUAUAUAUAACGGGUACUGUCAUCAUAAAGCAUGAUUAUGUUACAAUUCAUGGACGAAGGAGUAUGUGUUUUUAAUUUUGUGCUUAUGUUUAACAUACUUGAACAACUGUCCUCAGGUUUUAUAAAUGGAAAAGACUGCUAUAAAUGGAAAACACACAAAAGAAUCUGCAGGAAUGACAUUUAAAAUUUAAGCUAGACAAAUGGAUUUGGGACGCUUGAGAAGAAAGUAAUCUGCUGGAACUAAAAACAAUGAACCAGGUAAAAGAAAGGUAUCUUAUCAAGCUACUAGUGCUUUUUGAACUAAGAAUAAUGAGUUGUUCCAUUUAUUUUUUUAUAUUUCCAGGUUCAAUCAAUCCUGUGCACAUGAGAGCGAACCAUUGAAGUGAAUAUAAACAAUAAAAUGGCAACAGUUGCUGGAAAGCAUACCAAGUUGUAAGGCGAUGAUGAACAUUCUUUGACGGGUAUAAGGUGGUCGUUAUUCAUACAGCAAAGAAAGAUUGAAAUGAAGCAUAAUGCUUCGAAGUUUUUAGAUGGACCUCAGAUUGUCUUGCUGGGGUAUCAUGCGAAGAACCAUGAUAUUUUCGCACUUGUUUAAUUGUUAUUUUAUUUGUAUCCUCUAUUGUCACCAUGCCUAUCAAGUUUUAUAUAGGUAUAUCUCUUUAUGGAACAACUGAAAUAUGUUGAUUUAAUAUGAUCUCUUAUUUUGGGUAGAUGACUGUUGUCAUAAAAGGAAUAUAUAUGUUAAAUUUUUUGCGUUAAUAAAUUUAUGUAUGCAUCACUAUUUUCAGCUCAAUUUCUAUGGCUUUCAAUUGCUUCGGACCAAUAUAAGGAAACUGUAAAGG
RNAcentral lists this long non-coding RNA (1563 nucleotides) under Citrus maxima (pomelo). RNAcentral describes it as "long non-coding RNA (CMAX_LNC000696)". Lineage: Eukaryota; Viridiplantae; Streptophyta; Magnoliopsida; Sapindales; Rutaceae. The record is from RNAcentral.